RNAcentral lists this ribosomal RNA (2911 nucleotides) under Klebsiella pneumoniae. Its description in RNAcentral is "bacterial LSU rRNA". It matches the Rfam family "Bacterial large subunit ribosomal RNA". The record is from RNAcentral. Lineage: Bacteria; Pseudomonadati; Pseudomonadota; Gammaproteobacteria; Enterobacterales; Enterobacteriaceae.
GGGUUGUGAGGUUAAGCGACUAAGCGUACACGGUGGAUGCCCUGGCAGUCAGAGGCGAUGAAGGACGUGCUAAUCUGCGAAAAGCGUCGGUAAGGUGAUAUGAACCGUUAUAACCGGCGAUGUCCGAAUGGGGAAACCCAGUGUGAUUCGUCACACUAUCGUUAACUGAAUACAUAGGUUAACGAGGCGAACCGGGGGAACUGAAACAUCUAAGUACCCCGAGGAAAAGAAAUCAACCGAGAUUCCCCCAGUAGCGGCGAGCGAACGGGGAGCAGCCCAGAGUCUGAAUCAGCUUGUGUUAGUGGAACGGUCUGGAAAGUCCGACGGUACAGGGUGAUAGUCCCGUACACCAAAAUGCACAGGCUGUGAACUCGAAGAGUAGGGCGGGACACGUGGUAUCCUGUCUGAAUAUGGGGACCAUCCUCCAAGGCUAAAUACUCCUGACUGACCGAUAGUGAACCAGUACCGUGAGGAAAGGCGAAAAGAACCCCGGCGAGGGAGUGAAAAGAACCUGAAACCGUGUACGUACAAGCAGUGGGAGCACCUUCGGGUGUGACUGCGUACCUUUGUAUAAUGGGUCAGCGACUUAUAUUCUGUAGCAAGGUUAACCGUAUAGGGGAGCCGCAGGGAAACCGAGUCUUAACUGGGCGUUAAGUUGCAGGGUAUAGACCCGAAACCCGGUGAUCUAGCCAUGGGCAGGUUGAAGGUUGGGUAACACUAACUGGAGGACCGAACCGACUAAUGUUGAAAAAUUAGCGGAUGACUUGUGGCUGGGGGUGAAAGGCCAAUCAAACCGGGAGAUAGCUGGUUCUCCCCGAAAGCUAUUUAGGUAGCGCCUCGUGAAUUCAUCUUCGGGGGUAGAGCACUGUUUCGGCUAGGGGGUCAUCCCGACUUACCAACCCGAUGCAAACUACGAAUACCGAAGAAUGUUAUCACGGGAGACACACGGCGGGUGCUAACGUCCGUCGUGAAGAGGGAAACAACCCAGACCGCCAGCUAAGGUCCCAAAGUCAUGGUUAAGUGGGAAACGAUGUGGGAAGGCACAGACAGCCAGGAUGUUGGCUUAGAAGCAGCCAUCAUUUAAAGAAAGCGUAAUAGCUCACUGGUCGAGUCGGCCUGCGCGGAAGAUGUAACGGGGCUAAACCAUGCACCGAAGCUGCGGCAGCGACACUAUGUGUUGUUGGGUAGGGGAGCGUUCUGUAAGCCUGCGAAGGUGACCUGUGAGGGUUGCUGGAGGUAUCAGAAGUGCGAAUGCUGACAUAAGUAACGAUAAAGCGGGUGAAAAGCCCGCUCGCCGGAAGACCAAGGGUUCCUGUCCAACGUUAAUCGGGGCAGGGUGAGUCGACCCCUAAGGCGAGGCCGAAAGGCGUAGUCGAUGGGAAACAGGUUAAUAUUCCUGUACUUGGUGUUACUGCGAAGGGGGGACGGAGAAGGCUAUGUUAGCCGGGCGACGGUUGUCCCGGUUUAAGCAUGUAGGCUGGUUGUCCAGGCAAAUCCGGAUAAUCAAGGCUGAGGUGUGAUGACGAGGCACUACGGUGCUGAAGUAACAAAUGCCCUGCUUCCAGGAAAAGCCUCUAAGCAUCAGGUAACAUCAAAUCGUACCCCAAACCGACACAGGUGGUCAGGUAGAGAAUACCAAGGCGCUUGAGAGAACUCGGGUGAAGGAACUAGGCAAAAUGGUGCCGUAACUUCGGGAGAAGGCACGCUGGUGUGUAGGUGAAGUCCCUGCGGAUGGAGCUGAGACCAGUCGAAGAUACCAGCUGGCUGCAACUGUUUAUUAAAAACACAGCACUGUGCAAACACGAAAGUGGACGUAUACGGUGUGACGCCUGCCCGGUGCCGGAAGGUUAAUUGAUGGGGUUAUCCGUAAGGAGAAGCUCUUGAUCGAAGCCCCGGUAAACGGCGGCCGUAACUAUAACGGUCCUAAGGUAGCGAAAUUCCUUGUCGGGUAAGUUCCGACCUGCACGAAUGGCGUAAUGAUGGCCAGGCUGUCUCCACCCGAGACUCAGUGAAAUUGAACUCGCUGUGAAGAUGCAGUGUACCCGCGGCAAGACGGAAAGACCCCGUGAACCUUUACUAUAGCUUGACACUGAACAUUGAGCCUUGAUGUGUAGGAUAGGUGGGAGGCUUUGAAGCGUGGACGCCAGUCUGCGUGGAGCCAACCUUGAAAUACCACCCUUUAAUGUUUGAUGUUCUAACGUUGGCCCUUACCGGGGUUGCGGACAGUGUCUGGUGGGUAGUUUGACUGGGGCGGUCUCCUCCCAAAGCGUAACGGAGGAGCACGAAGGUUAGCUAAUCCUGGUCGGACAUCAGGAGGUUAGUGCAAUGGCAUAAGCUAGCUUGACUGCGAGCGUGACGGCGCGAGCAGGUGCGAAAGCAGGUCAUAGUGAUCCGGUGGUUCUGAAUGGAAGGGCCAUCGCUCAACGGAUAAAAGGUACUCCGGGGAUAACAGGCUGAUACCGCCCAAGAGUUCAUAUCGACGGCGGUGUUUGGCACCUCGAUGUCGGCUCAUCACAUCCUGGGGCUGAAGUAGGUCCCAAGGGUAUGGCUGUUCGCCAUUUAAAGUGGUACGCGAGCUGGGUUUAGAACGUCGUGAGACAGUUCGGUCCCUAUCUGCCGUGGGCGCUGGAGAAUUGAGGGGCUGCUCCUAGUACGAGAGGACCGGAGUGGACGCAUCACUGGUGUUCGGGUUGUCAUGCCAAUGGCACUGCCCGGUAGCUAAAUGCGGAAGAGAUAAGUGCUGAAAGCAUCUAAGCACGAAACUUGCCCCGAGAUGAGUUCUCCUGAGACUUUAAGUCUCCUGAAGGAACGUUAAAGACGAUGACGUUGAUAGGCCGGGUGUGUAAGCGCAGCGAUGCGUUGAGCUAACCGGUACUAAUGAACCGUGAGGCUUAACCUUACAACGCCGAAG